Gallus gallus (chicken) is the source of this 116-nucleotide non-coding RNA. NCBI's taxonomy places the organism in Eukaryota, Metazoa, Chordata, Aves, Galliformes, Phasianidae. The record is from Rfam.
CUGGGCUAUGGUGAUAUGUACCCCAAGACCUGGUCGGGGCAUGGUGGUGGGGGGCUCUGUGUGCGCUGGCCGGGGUGCUCACCAUCGCCAUGCCCGUGCCCGUCAUUGUCAAUAAC